CCAUACCAGCCGGGGAAGUAGCGGAGCCCUGCACCUGAAAUCCGCUAUAGCAGGGGUGGAUCCCCUCCUUGAGGACCGAUGCGAUGCGGUCCGGAGCGUGCUCUUUCGUGUUGACGAGUGGGUCUUACGCAAUCAGACGCCGUGAACCAUGUCAGGUGGGGAACCAAGCAGCAUUAAGCGGCUCAUCUGAUGUGCCGUGAGGGUGCCUGCUCUGAGCGAGAGAGGCGAAUUCCGCGCAAAGGUGACGUUCGAUUGGAGGGUGUAUGG
Molecule: signal recognition particle RNA, 267 nt
Filed under: Clostridia bacterium
Lineage: Bacteria; Bacillati; Bacillota; Clostridia
Description: signal recognition particle sRNA large type
Rfam family: Bacterial large signal recognition particle RNA
About the family: The signal recognition particle (SRP) is a universally conserved ribonucleoprotein involved in the co-translational targeting of proteins to membranes. Archaeal SRP consists of a 7S RNA and homologues of the eukaryotic SRP19 and SRP54 proteins. In most bacteria, the SRP consists of a 4.5S RNA and the Ffh protein (a homologue of the eukaryotic SRP54 protein).
Source: RNAcentral